AAGUCGUAACAAGGUUUCCGUAGGUGAACCUGCGGAAGGAUCAUUAAUGAAUAAGAACACGUCUCAUGGCGUUCUUGGAUCAUUGUACAUUCGUCUUUGAUCCAGUUCUCUCAUAUCCAUAACACCUGUGCACUGUUGGAUGCUUGCAUCCACUUUUAAACUAAACAUUAUUGUAACAAAUGUAGUCUUAUUAUAACAUAAUAAAACUUUCAACAACGGAUCUCUUGGCUCUC
This 233-nucleotide unclassified non-coding RNA is filed under the name Filobasidium floriforme. RNAcentral describes it as "partial internal transcribed spacer region". The stretch from base 1 to 46 matches the Rfam family "Eukaryotic small subunit ribosomal RNA", at positions 1786 to 1831 of the family's 1831-position model. Lineage: Eukaryota; Fungi; Basidiomycota; Tremellomycetes; Filobasidiales; Filobasidiaceae. The record is from RNAcentral.